Long non-coding RNA from Cynara cardunculus var. scolymus (artichoke), 673 nucleotides. RefSeq lists it as uncharacterized. The transcript has 3 exons. The record is from RefSeq and is a predicted model, not a curated record. NCBI's taxonomy places the organism in Eukaryota, Viridiplantae, Streptophyta, Magnoliopsida, Asterales, Asteraceae.
AAGAAAAAUGAGCAAGCCAGGAGAUUGGAAUUGCAAGUCAUGCCAGCACUUGAACUUCUACUGGAGGCAGUCAUGCCAAAGAUGCCAGGAGACACGACCUGAGGGCAUUGGCGGCAGUUUGGGUGGCCAAGUUUGGACCUUCUCUGCUUCUGAUCCUUGGGUCCCUAACUUCAGACCUGGAGACUGGUUCUGCGGUAUAGCGACCUGUCAGGCUCACAAUUUCUCUAACCGGCGGUUCUGUUUCAAAUGUGGUGCGAUAAAAAAUGUACCAUCUUUUGGUGGAAAUUUUAGAUCCUUGGUUCCCCCUAGGGGUCUUGGUUUCUAUGGUAGAAGGGGUGGCAAAAUCAGCCAGCGAGGGUGGAAGCCUGGAGACUGGUUCUGCAGCAGGCGUGAAUGCAAUGCACACAACUAUGGCAGCCGCGUGAAGUGUUUCAAGUGCAAUUCAUCACGAGAGUUGGUUGGCAACGAGUCUAACUAAUCUCGUUGCAUCUCGGGUUUAUGGUCUUUCUAUCAGUUAAGGAGCGAGAAGGUUGUGUCUUAGACCAUUUUGCCCCUAUCCUAUGCCAGUUUCUUUGGUUUGGUUUAAUGGUAAUGGACUUUGUAUCUACUAAGAUAAAUUAUGGAGGAUGUAAUCACAACUGCUUUCUUUAGAUUGAAUGGAAUUAUGGAGUGC